UCGAAGCGCACGCCGGUGACU
This 21-nucleotide unclassified non-coding RNA is filed under the name Chlamydomonas reinhardtii. Its description in RNAcentral is "small RNA Cre_2616". The record is from RNAcentral. Lineage: Eukaryota; Viridiplantae; Chlorophyta; Chlorophyceae; Chlamydomonadales; Chlamydomonadaceae.